ACUGAUGUAUUCAACGAGCAUAUAGCCUUGGCUGACAGGCCCGGGUAAUCUUUGAAAUUUCAUCGUGAUGGGGAUAGAUCAUUGCAAUUGUUGGUCUUCACGAGGAAUUCUAGUAAGCGCGAGUCAUCAGCUCGCGUUGACUACGUCCCUGCCUUUGUACACACCGCCGUCGCUCCUACCGAUUGAAUGAUCCGGUGAAGUGUUCGGAUCGCGGCGACGUGGGCGGUUCGCUGCCCGCGACGUCGCGAGAAGUCCACUGAACCUUAUCAUUUAGAGGAAGGAGAAGUCGUAACAAGGUUUCCGUAGGUGAACCUGCGGAAGGAUCAUUG
Molecule: non-coding RNA, 329 nt
Filed under: Ipomoea nil (Japanese morning glory)
Lineage: Eukaryota; Viridiplantae; Streptophyta; Magnoliopsida; Solanales; Convolvulaceae
Description: Eukaryotic small subunit ribosomal RNA
Rfam family: Eukaryotic small subunit ribosomal RNA
Source: Rfam by way of RNAcentral